UUCGAUAGCUGCCUUGGAAGGGGUCA
RNAcentral lists this non-coding RNA (26 nucleotides) under Mus musculus (house mouse). The record is from RNAcentral. Lineage: Eukaryota; Metazoa; Chordata; Mammalia; Rodentia; Muridae.